Pelobates cultripes (western spadefoot toad) is the source of this 324-nucleotide non-coding RNA. The record is from the annotation of a GenBank genome assembly. NCBI's taxonomy places the organism in Eukaryota, Metazoa, Chordata, Amphibia, Anura, Pelobatidae.
CUCACGCCGUCCAUUGACAUUCAUUGAAACUCCUCUCUAGCCAGCUCAAACUUGAAGAGCACUUUCUAAACUGCGACUGUGCCUUCAUUGUUAAUAGAGACAUACUAUGCAUCAAAAUGUAGGUCUGGGUCUUGUGAUUCUCACAAUAUAAAGCUCUUCGUUGUAGGAUUUAUAGUUUUUAAAAUACGACCGUUUGAAGAUGGCAACCGCCAAAAUACUCUACCUGUGCCAAGCUGGAGCAGCAAGUGAUAUCAUAGACAGGGCCUUUUGUACACCUGCUAAUGUUUUUAUAAAUGUAUGUUUUAAUGUAACUGUGAAGCACUU